Molecule: ribosomal RNA, 305 nt
Filed under: uncultured bacterium
Lineage: Bacteria
Description: bacterial SSU rRNA
Rfam family: Bacterial small subunit ribosomal RNA
Source: RNAcentral
GCUCUCCUACGGGACGCAGCAGUGAGGAAUAUUGGUCAAUGACCGAAAGGCUGAACCAGCCAAGUCGCGUGAGGGAAGACGGCCCUACGGGUUGUAAACCUCUUUUGUCGGGGAGCAAAGCGAACCACGUGUGGUUCAUUGAGAGUACCCGAAGAAAAAGCAUCGGCUAACUCCGUGCCAGCAGCCGCGGUAAUACGGAGGAUGCGAGCGUUAUCCGGAUUUAUUGGGUUUAAAGGGUGCGCAGGCGGAGGUGCAAGUCAACGGUCAAAUUGCGGGGCUCAACCCCGUACUGCCGUUGAAACUGC